CCUGGUGGCUCAGACGGUAAAGUGUCUGCCUGCAAUGCAGGAGACCCAGGUUCGAUUCCUGGGUCAGGA
Molecule: transfer RNA, 69 nt
Filed under: Capra hircus (goat)
Lineage: Eukaryota; Metazoa; Chordata; Mammalia; Artiodactyla; Bovidae
Also listed under: 1 other name
Rfam family: tRNA
About the family: Transfer RNA (tRNA) molecules are approximately 80 nucleotides in length. Their secondary structure includes four short double-helical elements and three loops (D, anti-codon, and T loops).
Source: Rfam by way of RNAcentral